UUAGUGUUAUUUACUUUAACAUUAAUUUAUAUGUAAAUUUAAGUGUAUAUUAUAAUUUCUUAAAGAGAUUUAAUUUUAAUUAGUGGCAGUAGAUAAUUUUAUUGAUAUUAAAUAAUUUUAGAUUUGGUAAAUGUUAGUAAGGUUUGGUUAAAGUUGUGCCAGCAUCCGCGGUUAUACAGCAAAAUCAAGUAAAUAUUAUUGGUUUUUAAGUAAUUAAUAUUUAUAGUGAAAUAUGAAUUGAGAUGCAUUUUUAAGGUGAAAUAUUUAUAAUAUCUUGAAGAAUAUUUAUUUGGUAUGAUUAUUAUGAAAAUUAAAAUAUAAACUAGGAUUAGAUACCCUAUUAUUUUUAUUGUAAAAAAUUAAACUAGAGUAUUAGUAGUUAUGAUCUUGAAACUUAAAGAAUUUGGCGGUAUUAUAGUCUGUUUAGAGGAAUCUGUUAUGUAAUCGAUAAUCCACGUAGAACCUUACUUAUAUUAUUUCUUGUAUAUCGCUGUUUAAGAAUAUACUUUUAGGUAAUUUUCUUAAGAUGUAACUAAUUAAAAUUUCAAGUCAAGGUGCAGUAAUAUAUAAGUUGAAUAAUGGAUUACAAUAAAAUUUAUUUAUUAUGAAUUGUUAUUGAAAUAUAAUUUGAAGGUGGAUUUAAUUGUAAUUUUUUAAAGAUUGUUAAAAUGAUUUAAAGCUCUAUAAUAUGUACACAUCGCCCGUCGCUCUCGUUAUUAAGAUGAGAUAAGUCGUAACAAAGUAGGUGUAUCGGAAGAUGUACCUAGAAA
This 770-nucleotide non-coding RNA is filed under the name Sphodromantis lineola. Lineage: Eukaryota; Metazoa; Arthropoda; Insecta; Mantodea; Mantidae. The record is from RNAcentral.